This 200-nucleotide ribosomal RNA is filed under the name uncultured bacterium. RNAcentral's name for it is "partial 16S ribosomal RNA". It matches the Rfam family "Bacterial small subunit ribosomal RNA", at positions 341 to 530 of the family's 1533-position model. The record is from RNAcentral.
ACGGGAGGCAGCAGUGGGGAAUCUUAGACAAUGGGGGCAAGCCUGAUCCAGCCAUGCCGCGUGAGUGAAGAAGGCCUUCGGGUUGUAAGGCUCUUUCGGCCGGGAAGAAAUCGUGUUCUCUAACAUAGGACAUGGAUGACAGGUACCGGACUAAGAAGCACCGGCUAACUACGUGCCAGCAGCCGCGGUAAUAAGCUUGA